RNAcentral lists this transfer RNA (63 nucleotides) under Hiatella arctica. Its description in RNAcentral is "tRNA-Arg". The record is from RNAcentral. Lineage: Eukaryota; Metazoa; Mollusca; Bivalvia; Adapedonta; Hiatellidae.
AGAGAGAUAGUAUAUAAAGUACAUUUGAUUUCGGCUCAAAAAGUAACGAUUUGUUUUUCUCUU